This 712-nucleotide ribosomal RNA is filed under the name Matricaria chamomilla var. recutita. RNAcentral's name for it is "eukaryotic LSU rRNA". The stretch from base 294 to 449 matches the Rfam family "5.8S ribosomal RNA". Lineage: Eukaryota; Viridiplantae; Streptophyta; Magnoliopsida; Asterales; Asteraceae. The record is from RNAcentral.
UCCGUAGGUGAACCUGCGGAAGGAUCAUUGUCGAACCCUGCAAAGCAGAACGACCCGUGAACACGUAAAAACAACCGAGCGUCGAGUGGAUUAAGCUUUUGUUUGAUCCUCUCGAUGCUUUGUCGAUGUGCAUUUUACUUGUCUUCUUCUUUGGACCAGGUGAAUGUGUCAUUGACGCAAUAACAACCCCCGGCACAAUGUGUGCCAAGGAAAACUAAACUUGAGAAGGCUUGUUUCAUGUUGCCCCGUUCGCGGUGUGCUCAUGGAAUGUGGCUUCUUUAUAAUUUAUAAACGACUCUCGGCAACGGAUAUCUCGGCUCACGCAUCGAUGAAGAACGUAGCAAAAUGCGAUACUUGGUGUGAAUUGCAGAAUCCCGUGAACCAUCGAGUUUUUGAACGCAAGUUGCGCCCGAAGCCUUUUGGCUGAGGGCACGUCUGCCUGGGCGUCACGCAUCGCGUCGCCCCCAACAAAGCUUUGUUGCGGGCGGAUAUUGGUCUCCCGUGCUCAUGGUGUGGUUGGCCAAAAUAGGAGUCCCUUUGACGGACGCACGAACUAGUGGUGGUCGUAAAAACCCUCGUUCUUUGUUCUGUGUUAGUCGCAAGGAAAAACUCUUUAAAUACCCUAAUGCGUUGUCUUAGGAUGACGCUUCGACCGCGACCCCAGGUCAGGCGGGACUACCCGCUGAGUUUAAGCAUAUCAAUAAGCGGAGGA